UAGGGAAUCUUCGGCAAUGGACGAAAGUCUGACCGAGCAACGCCGCGUGAGUGAAGCAGGUUUUCGGAUCGUAAAACUCUGUUGUUAGAGAAGAACAAGGACGUUAGUAACUGAACGUCCCCUGACGGUAUCUAACCAGAAAGCCACGGCUAACUACGUGCCAGCAGCCGCGGUAAUACGUAGGUGGCAAGCGUUGUCCGGAGUUAUUGGGCGUCAAGCGAGCGCAGGCGGUUUCUUAAGUCUGAUGUGAAAGCCCCCGGCUCAACCGGGGAGGGUCAUUGGAAACUGGGAGACUUGGGUGCGGAAGAGGAGAGUGGAAUUCCAUGUGUAGAGGUGAAAUGCGUAGAUAUAUGGAGGAACACCAGUGGCGAAGGCGACUCGCUGGUCGGAAACUGACGCUGAGGCUCGAAAGCGUGGGGAGCAAACAGG
Molecule: ribosomal RNA, 429 nt
Filed under: Gemmatimonadota bacterium
Lineage: Bacteria; Pseudomonadati; Gemmatimonadota
Description: Gemmatimonadetes bacterium partial 16S ribosomal RNA
Rfam family: Bacterial small subunit ribosomal RNA
Source: RNAcentral